GGCCGCGCUGAGAGUCACGUGGUGCGCCAGGAAGCCGCCUAGCUUCUUGGAGAGCUCACUGCCUCGCUCCGCUCCUUUCCUGGCGGGAGGCUCUGAGCCACCCCCACCUGCGCAGGGCGGCCAGGGGUGAGUGUCCACUAGGAGCGUCGCGCCCACCCGGACUGUCCACGCUGGGGCGCAGGCCGUCAGAAUGUCUUGCCCGGACCAGGGGACAAAAUGGCGGCAGGGUUAAAACAAAGUCACAAGUCUGACCCACACUCAAAGGGAGAAGAUUAUGCAAGAGCAAAAGCACGAGAUGGAAACCAUGGGGCCAUCUUAUAGUCUGUCUGCCGGAGAAAGAUGAACACAAAUCCUAUGAAAAGUUUCUAUGCAUUGUUAAUUGGCUGAAGUUUCCUAUCGACUGACAACAAUGACAACAAACAAAUGACAAACUCUUCGAAAAGCCCCAUCUUCAGGGACCUCUAAUUUCUGACUGUCUGGUUAAAGUGCUUGGCUAAGCAAGAUGAGCUCUCUAAGCUUCAUUUUAACAUGCAAUAGAGUGAAAGAGG
Molecule: long non-coding RNA, 548 nt
Filed under: Homo sapiens (human)
Lineage: Eukaryota; Metazoa; Chordata; Mammalia; Primates; Hominidae
Description: HSALNT0386970
Source: RNAcentral